UUUUAAGUGUAUACCUGAUAAGUUUUCACAAAUGUAUACUCUUAUAUAACCACCACCACUAUAACCAAGAUAUUGAUAAUUUUUAUCACAUCAAAAGUUCCCAUGUGUCCUUUCCCAGACAGUCCUCUCUGCUCCUGGCCCCAGACAGCCGCUGCUUUCUGUCACUCCUUUUUGUGUGUGUGUGUCUUUUUUAGGGCUGCCUCCAUGCAUAUGGAGAUUCCCAGGCUAGGGGUCUGAAUCAGAGCUGUAGUCGCUGACCUACGCCAGAGCCACAGCAACGCUGGAUCUACACCACAGCUCAGGGCAAUGCUGGAUCCUUAACCCACUGAGCAAGGCCAGGGAUAGAACCUGCAUCCUUAUGGAUGCCAGGUAGAUUCAUUAACCACUGAGCCACGACCGGAACAUCACUUUCUGUCACUCUUAAUUAGAUUUAUAUUUCUAGUGUUUCGUACAUGGAGAAUAAUUCACAUUUAAAAAAAAAAAAAAAAACAGUAGGCACUCUUUUCCAUUUGGCUACAUUUGCUCUGCUUAAUGUGUUUGAGAUUCAUCCAUAGUAUUGUAUGUAUCUGUAGUUUGUUCUUUUGUAUGGUGGGUCGCUGCGUUCCCUUGUAUGGAUACGCCACACUUUGUUUAUCCAUUCACCAGUUGGACCGUUGAGUUGUUUUCAGUAUUUGGCUAUUAUGAUUAAAGCUGAUAGAAACAUUUAUGUAUAAAUAUUUUUAAUUUUUUGUUUGUUUGUCUUUUUGCCUUUUCUAGGGCCGUACCCGCAGCAUAUGGAAGUUCCAGGCUAGGAGUUUAAUUGGAGCUGUAGCCACCAGCCUACACCAGAGCCACGGCAACGUGGGAUCCAAGCUGCAUCUGCAACCUACACCACAGCUCUCAGCAACACUGGAUCUUUAACCCACUGAGUAAGGCCAGGGAUAGAACCUGCAACCUCAUGGUUCCCUGUCGGAUUUGUUAACCGCUGAGCCACGACGGGAACCCCUGUAGCAAUAUUUUUAAAUUAACUAUCUUCUUUUAUGAAACAGUGGUGGCAAAAAUGGUAAUAAUUUUGUUUGAUAUAUCUACUUAGUGAAAUAUUUAAGUUUUCAGUUUGGGUUCCCAUUUUUUGAAAGUUAGUGUCCAUGAAAUCCUGGAUCUAGGAAUCCUAGUUUCUAAAGAGGGAACUAAGUGACAUUUGGGGCCCGAUAAUUCUUUGCUAUGCAGGGCCAUUUAGCUCAUUUCAGAAUGCAUCCCUGGUCCCCACAAAUUAAAUGUCUGCUGUGUCAUCAGUCAAAAGGCCCAUGCACGUUUCUGAAUGCCCUCAGGGAAGGAUGCAUUCACUUGGAUUGAGAACUGAUUAUUCCUGGGGAGAUAGUUGGGUGUUUAGUGUGGGGAGAUCAAUCAUAAGAUUAUUACACUGAUCCAUCCAGGAUAUUGUGGACUGCACUAAGGUAGUGAGAAUGGAAAAUAGAUGAGAACUACAAGUUAAUUAGGAGGCAGAAUCCAUAGGACAGUUUUUCUGGCUUAUGUGUGCAAUGGAGACUCAACGCUAAGGAAGAGUAGAUAGAAUGAGAAAAGAGGGCAAGUAAGCCAAUCCUUAAGGGGCAGGUAGCAAAGCAGGAAUAUAACCAUGUCACCAUGGUCGACAUGGUGAGCUCCAUGUCCUCUCCCCCUCCCUGUGGUGUGCCUUUUUAUACUACAGAGGUUGGAAAGCUGAAAACUGUAUUUCCAGACACCCUUGCAGAUGGAUUUCUAGAUACAUAUUAAGGCCCAUCAAUUAGAUGCAUUAAUGUGAGAUUUGGAAAAUGGAAAUAAGGGGAACCACAGCUCAUUGCAACGCCAGAUCCUUAACCCACUGAGCAAUGCCAGGGAUCAAACCCGUACCCUCAUGGAUACUAGUUGGGUUCAUUACCACUGAGCCACAAUGGGAACUCCAUGAAUACAUUACUUUUGAAAUAAGAAAAAAUUUUGAAAUGUAUGAAGGACUUACAAAGGUAAAGACACUGUGGGUAAUAUUAAUAGAAAAACCAAACUGGAAAAAAAUUAUAUAUUUAGGGAGUUCCCUGGUGGCACAGUGGGUUAAGGACCUGGCAUUGACGCUGCUGUGGCUUAGGUCACUCCUGUGGCAUGGGUUCUGGCCCUGAAACUUCUUCAUGCCACAGGUGUCGCCAAAAAAAAAUCGGUAUUUUUAAAGGGCUGCAGUUCUGAAGGUUUGAGCACUAUAAUUUAUACUCACUUCUGUCAUAAAACCUACCCCUUUCCAAAGAUUUAGGAUGAGAUCACCUUCUCCACAGGGCAUGAAAAAGCCUUCUUAUGCUAUUUUCUUGAUAGAGAUGGACAUAUUUACCCCUUGAAUUCACAAAUAGCACAAAGUGAUUAUCAGAGUCCCUUUUGGUAACUUGUGUAAAUAACUCCUACAAUCAGCAGUUUUCCCAGACAUCCCCUCCCCUCAGAAAUAAACUUGAAGGUUGUACAAGCAGUAAUAAUUAAUCAUCUUCUCAACUGCAACAGUUUAUUUCUUUUCCAGAUCUUUUAGAGAGAUGGUGCUUUUGUUUUUCAGGUGUUUCAUAUUUUCUUUGUAAUUUAUUGCCAAGGGAGAAUGUUAAAGCAUGACAUUUCAAAGAAAAUGUUUUUGCUGUUAAAUUUCUCUCUGAUAAUGAGUUUUCCCAUGAAUAGUUGAUGAGCUAAUUUUGAGCAUACUAAAACACCGAGUGUAACAAAUGUACUAUUGAAUUUUCUACUUUUGAAGUUUUAUACAUAAUUCAUAGAUAGAUGCCUGAUACUUUUGGAAAUUAUUUUUCUUGUCAAACAUUUGUGAUGCGCUUUUUUUGUGGCCUCAACAUGACAAACUGCUAAGUUCUUUACCUUUCACAGACCACUCCGCUCCCUCCACAGUAUGUUUGCAAAUUAAGCUCAUCAUGAAGACAAAAAUAGACUUGGGGAAGUUAUUUAAGAUAAAAUGAGUAAUGAGAAUCCAACUCAAAAAUGAAAUAGAAAUGCAACUUCGUGUGAUAUAAUUCAUCUGUAUAAUUGAAAGAAACAAAAAUAUUAUCUGGAAGUGCCUUUUGCUCUUUCUUCCUCAUUUUUGAGUCUGAUUGCAAGCAGAGAUAAGGAGCCAAAUAGAAAUCAAGGUAUUAAUUACUGAAAAACCUCUUUGGUAGAGCUGGAUUGGAGAGGGUAAUUUGACCCUGAGGUCAAAAUGGGGCUUCCUAAACCAUUCCUAUAAAUUGAAGAAAAAAAGUUACCUUAUCCAUCAAAGUACAAGCUGGGAAACUGGAACAGGGAGUAUAGACCUGUUUAUCAGUGGUCUUGUCACAUGGGGAUUGGCUAUGCAAGGCAGACUCAUGCUGCAUGUUAGCAAGUGGUCAGUAAGAGCAAACAGUAUGGCCCAAUGAGGACAGGUAGUCCAGCGUGGCAGGGUUUCGCCUGCCCGCCUUGGCUGUGGGAGAUGUACACUUUUUAAAAGGCACCACCUGAUGCCUCCCCUAUUUGUUUCCAGGGCUUUCGGGCACACAGCUGUAACAAAUUGUUUUCAUUUUAGUCACAACAACUACCUGGACAAUAUAUUAUCCUAAAAACUAUUGAAAAGGUGCCUCUUUGGAGAAUGUGGUCACAUCUGCUCUUCCAUUAGUUGAAUUCCGUUUUCCCAUGUGAGAGAAAUGAGAGGAUGGAAGAAGACACCAGACACAACCACUCUCCUAAGAUUUCUUGGCGGGGGGGGAGUUGGGGGAGGGGAACUCCCACCAUGGCUCAGCGGGUUAAGAAAUCAGCAUAGUCUCUGUGAGGAUGAGGGUUCAAUCCCUGGCCUCACUGGGCGGGUUAAGUAUCCACUGUUGCUGCAAGUUGUGGCAUAGGUCACAGGUGCAGCUCAGAUCUAGUAUUGCUGUGGCUGAGGCACAGGCCUGCAGUUGCAACUCUGAUUCGACCCCUAGCCCAGGAACUU
RNAcentral lists this long non-coding RNA (3925 nucleotides) under Sus scrofa (pig). RNAcentral describes it as "lncRNA (ENSSSCG00000052482.1)". Lineage: Eukaryota; Metazoa; Chordata; Mammalia; Artiodactyla; Suidae. The record is from RNAcentral.